Molecule: non-coding RNA, 31 nt
Filed under: Mus musculus (house mouse)
Lineage: Eukaryota; Metazoa; Chordata; Mammalia; Rodentia; Muridae
Source: RNAcentral
UGGCCAAGAGAAACAUGAGCCUGUUGGAUGA